RNAcentral lists this ribosomal RNA (372 nucleotides) under Panthera onca (jaguar). Its description in RNAcentral is "partial large subunit ribosomal RNA". It matches the Rfam family "Bacterial large subunit ribosomal RNA", at positions 1990 to 2536 of the family's 2925-position model. The record is from RNAcentral. Lineage: Eukaryota; Metazoa; Chordata; Mammalia; Carnivora; Felidae.
GUAUGAAUGGCCACACGAGGGCUUUACUGUCUCUUACUUCCAAUCCGUGAAAUUGAUCUGCCCGUGAAGAGGCGGGAAUAUGACAAUAAGACGAGAAGACCCUAUGGAGCUUUAAUUAACCGACCCAAAGAGAUCUUGAUAAUCAACCGACAGGGAUAACAUACCUCUACCAUGGGCCGACAAUUUAGGUUGGGGUGACCUCGGAGAAUAAAACAACCUCCGAGUGAUUUAAAUCUAGACUAACUAGUCGAAAGUACUACAUCACUUAUUGAUCCAAAAACUUGAUCAACGGAACAAGUUACCCUAGGGAUAACAGCGCAAUCCUAUUUUAGAGUCCAUAUCGACAAUAGGGUUUACGACCUCGAUGUUGGA